Molecule: ribosomal RNA, 271 nt
Filed under: uncultured bacterium
Lineage: Bacteria
Description: partial 16S ribosomal RNA
Rfam family: Bacterial small subunit ribosomal RNA
Source: RNAcentral
UGCGCCUACGGGAGGCAGCAGUCGGGAAUAUUGCACAAUGGAGGAAACUCUGAUGCAGUGACACCGCGUAUAGGAAGAAGGUUUUCGGAUUGUAAACUAUUUUAGACAGGGAAGAAAAAAGACAGUACCUGUAGAAUAAGCUCCGGCUAACUACGUGCCAGCAGCCGCGGUAAUACGUAGGGGGCAAGCGUUAUCCGGAUUUACUGGGUGUAAAGGGAGCGUAGACGGCGGCGCAAGCCAGAUGUGAAAGCCGGGGGCUCAACCCCGGCAC